Molecule: ribosomal RNA, 301 nt
Filed under: uncultured bacterium
Lineage: Bacteria
Description: partial 16S ribosomal RNA
Rfam family: Bacterial small subunit ribosomal RNA
Source: RNAcentral
CAGCCGCCACGGGAAUACGAAGGGGGCUAGCGUUGCUCGGAAUCACUGGGCGUAAAGGGUGCGUAGGCGGGUUUUUAAGUCAGGGGUGAAAUCCUGGAGCUCAACUCCAGAACUGCCCUUGAUACUGGGAAUCUUGAGUAUGGGAGAGGUGAGUGGAACUGCGAGUGUAGAGGUGAAAUUCGUAGAUAUUCGCGAGAACACCAGUGGCGAAGGCGGCUCACUGGCCCAUAACUGACGCUGAGGCACGAAAGCGUGGGAGCAAACAGGAUUAGAUACCCCAGUAGUCCCUGUCUCUUAUACA